Molecule: ribosomal RNA, 384 nt
Filed under: uncultured Pseudomonas sp.
Lineage: Bacteria; Pseudomonadati; Pseudomonadota; Gammaproteobacteria; Pseudomonadales; Pseudomonadaceae
Description: bacterial SSU rRNA
Rfam family: Bacterial small subunit ribosomal RNA
Source: RNAcentral
ACCUUCUAGUUCGGUGAGGGAGCGUGCACAGGUGCUGCAUGGCUGUCGUCAGCCUUCGGUGUCGUGAGAGUGGUUUAGGGUUAACGUCCCGCAACGAGCACCAACCUUGUCCUUAGUUACCAGCACGUUAUGGUGGGCACUCUAAGGAGACUGCCGGUGACAAACCGGAGGAAGGUGGGGAUGACGUCAAGUCAUCAUGGCCCUUACGGCCUGGGCUACACACGUGCUACAAUGGUCGGUACAAAGGGUUGCCAAGCCGCGAGGUGGAGCUAAUCCCAUAAAACCGAUCGUAGUCCGGAUCGCAGUCUGCAACUCGACUGCGUGAAGUCGGAAUCGCUAGUAAUCGUGAAUCAGAAUGUCACGGUGAAUACGUUCCCGGGCCUU